CAGGGUUCAGACAUCUGAAGGAACAAAAUCCAUAUAGAAGAGAAUGCCUCGCCAGUCUCCACUUGUGUUCUCUUUGCCUGCUAUUUUCAGUAUGCAAAUUCAACACAGAGAAGAACACAAGCAUAAUGGCACAGAUAGAGCAUGUUUGUAAUUUCACAACUUCCAAUUGCUGUUCAAUGUAAUCAAUGAUUAUGAUCAUCGCAAUUUCUUUCUAGUCCUCCUAAUGCAACUAUGUACUUUUCCUAGUCCAUAGAUAUGCACAACCUAUUUAGAUGAACAUAGUACAACUGCUGUUAUAUAGGUCAUGCCUCGACUAUGUUAUCCAAAAGUUGAUAUUCAAUCACAUCAUUAGAAGCAAUGUCACGAGGGGAUUCCUCUCCAGAUGGCAUGUCUCGAACACGAUCAAGGAGAAUUGACAUUUCUCUAUGAACAAAACUAAACUGAUCUUUGGAUGCCAUUGAUUCUGUCAAU
Molecule: long non-coding RNA, 471 nt
Filed under: Linum usitatissimum (flax)
Lineage: Eukaryota; Viridiplantae; Streptophyta; Magnoliopsida; Malpighiales; Linaceae
Description: long non-coding RNA (LUSI_LNC001739)
Source: RNAcentral